AGGUACUGCUGCAUCCUAAGUCCAGAAAUGAGUACGGUGGUACGGACGCGGCCCACAGAGGGUGAAAGGCCCGUGGGGGUGGAGGUCAGACAUGUCGGUAUCUCUUUGGAUAGACCCUUGAGUCGGGUUGUUUGUGAAUGCAACCCAAAGUGGGUGGUAAACUCCAUCCAAGGCUAAAUACUAACACGAGUCCGAUAGCAAACAAGUACCGUGAGGGAAAGUUGAAAAGUACUCUGAAGAGAGAGUAAACAGUACGUGAAGCCGCUCAGAGGUAAACGGGUGGAGUUGAACUGCGAACAUUGAGAAUUACCAUCAGUGAGUAUGGUUUGAACUUGGUCUUGAUGAUUGAGCUCGGAAGUCUGUGUAGUGACAGGCCGCUACCUUUUGGUGGUGGUGCGCGAUGCACUUAUCAAGUGUUGUGCGCUUUCGAUGCUUUGGAUCGACUUGCUGGUGCAUUUCUCAGUGUGUUCACCACGACCGGCGCUGCUGCCUGGCUGCUAUGGUCAAACCGAUCACGUGUUUGCUCUCGUGGCUUACUGUGGUUGGGAUGGCAGGUGACUCGUCAUCUGGAUGCCUGUGGCUUGCUGCGGGUAUCGGGUCUCGGGUGUAACUAGCUGUCCAUAGUGGUUCUGUGCAGUGUGUCGGAGACGGCGGCUUGUGGUGUGUGUAUACGUGCCAGUUCGGUUGGCUCAUCCGAGUCGGAUUGUCUUGUUGCCUGUUCUGUCAGGCCUAAUAAUGGCUCGGGUUUGUUCGGCUGACGGUUGCGUGUAUGAUACCUUAAAGGGCCAAUAGUCUGUGGUGUGGCGGUAGACUAUCCACCUGACCCGUCUUGAAACACGGACCAAGGAGUGUAACAUGUACGCGAGUCAUUGGGCACUACGAAACCCAAAGGCGCAGUGAAAGUGAAGGUCUGAUUUCGGUCAGAUUGUGGUGAGAUCCUGCCGUUGCUCACACCUGAUACCACCAAGCAGCGAGCGGUAGGCGCAUCACCGGCCCGUCCCAUGACAGCUAUCUUCGGAUGGUUAUCAGUCGGGGUGGAGCAUGAGCGUACACGUUGUGACCCGAAAGAUGGUGAACUAUGCUUGUGCAGGUUGAAGCCAGAGGAAACUCUGGUGGAGGACCGCAACGAUUCUGACGUGCAAAUCGAUCGCCAGACAUGAGUAUAGGGGCGAAAGACUAAUCGAACCAUCUAGUAGCUGGUUCCCUCCGAAGUUUC
This 1216-nucleotide ribosomal RNA is filed under the name Renicola thapari. RNAcentral describes it as "partial large subunit ribosomal RNA". It matches the Rfam family "Eukaryotic large subunit ribosomal RNA", at positions 151 to 970 of the family's 3401-position model. The record is from RNAcentral. Lineage: Eukaryota; Metazoa; Platyhelminthes; Trematoda; Plagiorchiida; Renicolidae.